RNAcentral lists this ribosomal RNA (253 nucleotides) under uncultured bacterium. RNAcentral describes it as "partial 16S ribosomal RNA". It matches the Rfam family "Bacterial small subunit ribosomal RNA", at positions 524 to 776 of the family's 1533-position model. The record is from RNAcentral.
UACGUAGGUGGCAAGCGUUGUCCGGAUUUACUGGGUGUAAAGGGCGUGUAGGCGGAGCUGCAAGUCAGAUGUGGAAUCCCGGGGCUCAACCCCGGAACUGCAUUUGAAACUGUAGCCCUUGAGUAUCGGAGAGGCAGGCGGAAUUCCUAGUGUAGCGGUGAAAUGCGUAGAUAUUAGGAGGAACACCAGUGGCGAAGGCGGCCUGCUGGACGGUAACUGACGUUGAGGCUCGAAAGCGUGGGGAGCAAACAGG